RNAcentral lists this ribosomal RNA (326 nucleotides) under uncultured bacterium. RNAcentral describes it as "bacterial SSU rRNA". It matches the Rfam family "Bacterial small subunit ribosomal RNA", at positions 156 to 482 of the family's 1533-position model. The record is from RNAcentral.
ACGGCUGCUAAUACCGCAUAAUGUCUACGGACCAAAGGGGGCUUUUAGCUCCCACCUGAAGAGAGGCCCAAGUGAGAUUAGCUAGUUGGUGAGGUAAAGGCUCACCAAGGCGACGAUCUCUAGCUGUUCUGAGAGGAAGAUCAGCCACACUGGGACUGAAACACGGCCCACACUCCUACGGGAGGCAGCAGUGGGGAAUAUUGCACAAUGGGGGAAACCCUGAUGCAGCCAUGCCGCGUGUGUGAAGAAGGCCUUCGGGUUGUAAAGUACUUUCAGUUGUGAGGAAAGGUUGGUAGUUAAUACCUGCCAGCUGUGACGUUAACAAC